RNAcentral lists this transfer RNA (82 nucleotides) under Eumeta japonica. RNAcentral describes it as "tRNA-Leu". It matches the Rfam family "tRNA". Rfam says of the family: Transfer RNA (tRNA) molecules are approximately 80 nucleotides in length. Their secondary structure includes four short double-helical elements and three loops (D, anti-codon, and T loops). The record is from RNAcentral. Lineage: Eukaryota; Metazoa; Arthropoda; Insecta; Lepidoptera; Psychidae.
GGUAGCGUGGCCUAGCGGUCUCAGGCGCUGGUUUAAGGCACCAGUCUCUUCAGAGACUUGGUUUCGAAUCCCACCACUGCCU